This 60-nucleotide ribosomal RNA is filed under the name Lactarius fulvissimus. RNAcentral describes it as "partial 28S ribosomal RNA". The record is from RNAcentral. RNAcentral also lists the same sequence under 3 other names. Lineage: Eukaryota; Fungi; Basidiomycota; Agaricomycetes; Russulales; Russulaceae.
UUGACCUCAAAUCGGGUGAGACUACCCGCUGAACUUAAGCAUAUCAAUAAGCCGGAGGAA